This 92-nucleotide unclassified non-coding RNA is filed under the name Halpernia humi. Its description in RNAcentral is "Chryseobacterium humi Flavo-1 RNA". Lineage: Bacteria; Pseudomonadati; Bacteroidota; Flavobacteriia; Flavobacteriales; Weeksellaceae. The record is from RNAcentral.
UUUUAGCACGCUUUGCAGCCCGACCUGAAUGGAGCUCUUUUUAUGAGGAGGAACGACGAGUAAAAAAGCGGGAAUGGAGGGCGGAAAUGCUG